This 471-nucleotide ribosomal RNA is filed under the name marine sediment bacterium ISA-1159. RNAcentral's name for it is "bacterial SSU rRNA". It matches the Rfam family "Bacterial small subunit ribosomal RNA", at positions 37 to 504 of the family's 1533-position model. The record is from RNAcentral.
UGGCGGCAGGCCUAACACAUGCAAGUCGAGCGGUAACAUUUCUAGCUUGCUAGAAGAUGACGAGCGGCGGACGGGUGAGUAAUGCUUGGGAACAUGCCUUGAGGUGGGGGACAACCGUUGGAAACGACGGCUAAUACCGCAUGAUGUCUACGGACCAAAGGGGGCUUCGGCUCUCGCCUUUAGAUUGGCCCAAGUGGGAUUAGCUAGUUGGUGAGGUAAUGGCUCACCAAGGCGACGAUCCCUAGCUGGUUUGAGAGGAUGAUCAGCCACACUGGAACUGAGACACGGUCCAGACUCCUACGGGAGGCAGCAGUGGGGAAUAUUGCACAAUGGGCGCAAGCCUGAUGCAGCCAUGCCGCGUGUGUGAAGAAGGCCUUCGGGUUGUAAAGCACUUUCAGUCAGGAGGAAAGGUUAAGUAGUUAAUACCUGCUAGCUGUGACGUUACUGACAGAAGAAGCACCGGCUAACUCC